RNAcentral lists this ribosomal RNA (200 nucleotides) under uncultured bacterium. Its description in RNAcentral is "partial 16S ribosomal RNA". It matches the Rfam family "Bacterial small subunit ribosomal RNA", at positions 29 to 256 of the family's 1533-position model. The record is from RNAcentral.
AACAAACGCUGGCGGCAGGCCUAACACAUGCAAGUCGAACGCAAUAGCAAUAUUGAGUGGCAGACGGGUGAGUAACACGUGGGAACCUUCCUUAUAGUAAAGAAUAGCCCAGGGAAACUUGGAUUAAUACUUUAUACGCCCUACGGGGGAAAGAUUUAUCGCUAUAAGAUGGGCCCGCGUUAGAUUAGCUAGUUGGUGAG